AGGGAUAUACUUUCAGGAAUCAUUUCUAUAGUAUGUAUCGCCAGGACAUCAGGUAAAACUGAUCCUGGACAACAGAGGAACUGGAAUUGAGCAUCUGA
Lineus longissimus is the source of this 98-nucleotide small nucleolar RNA. RefSeq annotates it as small nucleolar RNA U3. The transcript has a single exon. The record is from RefSeq and is a predicted model, not a curated record. NCBI's taxonomy places the organism in Eukaryota, Metazoa, Nemertea, Pilidiophora, Heteronemertea, Lineidae.